GAGGAUGUAGCUCAGUGGUAGAGCACUUGCCUAGCGUGUAUGAGGCCCUGGGUUUCAUUCCCAGUACCACA
Fukomys damarensis (Damara mole-rat) is the source of this 71-nucleotide non-coding RNA. The record is from Rfam. Lineage: Eukaryota; Metazoa; Chordata; Mammalia; Rodentia; Bathyergidae.